Molecule: ribosomal RNA, 712 nt
Filed under: Macrobrachium olfersii
Lineage: Eukaryota; Metazoa; Arthropoda; Malacostraca; Decapoda; Palaemonidae
Description: eukaryotic LSU rRNA
Rfam family: Eukaryotic large subunit ribosomal RNA
Source: RNAcentral
CCAACCGGGAUUCCCUGAGUAAGGGCGACUGAAAGGGGAUGAGCCCAGCGCAUAACCUCGCGGUCGUGUUGUGGCCGUCGAGGGGUGUUGCGUUUCGGUGGAUCCGUACCGCUCGAUUUGCUGACCGCCUAAGUCAUUGCUUGAAUGCAGCCCCUUGGAGGGUGGUAGGCCCGUGUGGCGGCGCCUGUAAAAAGGUCCGAAGCAAGUUGAGCGGAGGGGUCUUUACCGUAGAGUCGGGUUGCUUAGUACUGCAGCCCUAAGUAGGUGGUAAACUCCAUCUAAGGCUAAAUACUACCACGAGUCCGAUAUUUGACAAGUACCGUGAGGGAAAGCUGAAAAGGACUCUGAAGAGAGAGUUCAAGAGGACGUGAAACCAUUAGAAGCUGAAACGGGUGGAACCGUGAAGGUGGAAAGAGGGGAUUCAGGCGGUGGGACUUGGCGUGUUGGCCUGUUUGCGUCUGUGAGAGGACCCGGCUUACCAGUGAGUUGCCGUGGCAGCAGGCCUUCACUGCUCUGUCUGGCGGUCUUAGUUCUCCCUCGAGUAGCAGUCGUGGCGACCCGCUGGUCGGACCCCUAGGGCCUCUUGGGACUGGUAGCCUGCAGCUUUGCUGUGGGUGAUGACCCUCGGGUGUUCUGGUCGGGUUUGGCCGGCGGUCACUGCAAGGAGGCGGGCGCUUCCUGCGUCCGCCUCUCGCCACGUGAGAGGGAUCGG